This is a long non-coding RNA of Nicotiana attenuata, 718 nucleotides long. RefSeq lists it as uncharacterized. The transcript is spliced from 2 exons. The record is from RefSeq and is a predicted model, not a curated record. Lineage: Eukaryota; Viridiplantae; Streptophyta; Magnoliopsida; Solanales; Solanaceae.
UAAUCAUUCAAUAAAACAAGAAAGAAAGAAAGAAAAAAUUCUUUGUUAUCCUCCUUUGAAGAAUCUCUCUUUCUCUCUUCAUUUUCAAGAUUCAUUUCCAAAACCCAUUAAACAGAAAAACAUCAUUAAAAUCUUGGUUUAAUCAUCCAACAAAACAGAAAAAAAUUCUUAGUUAAUCAUUGUUUGGAAUUUUUUUUCUCUCUCCAUUUUCAAGAUUCCUUUAACCCCAAUUCACAGCCAAAAACAUCAUUAAAACCUUGCACCAUUCUCUCCAUUGCAGCCAAGAAAUAUAAGAUAUUUCAGGAGGACAACUGGCAAAGAGAAACAACCCAGAAAGAAAGAAAAAACACAUCAUGAAAGAAGCUAAAAUGGGAGCAAUUAUCACCUCAACAACAACAAUCAUGGCAAUGUUGUUGUUCAUGAUCAAUGCCUCAAAUGUUGCAGCAGGAUUUCCAUUGAUAAAGACUGUUGUGGUAACAAACAACCACAGUAAUUACCUAAGCAUCCGAUGUUUCUCCUUCGACGACGACGGCCAAGUUAGGCAUCUGAAUAAAAUGGGCAGUUUCAACAUUAGUGUCAAAAUCAGGAAAUUCUUCCCUUCUUCCACCAUGUACAAUUGCUCCACAAACAUGGGAACUUUCGUCGCGUUUCGAUUCGACUACGAGUGUGUUAGUUAUUCAACCCCUUGUGAAUGGAUGUUUGAUGAGGACUACACAUA